UACGAAGGGGGCUAGCGUUGUUCGGAAUUACUGGGCGUAAAGCGCGCGCAGGCGGUCUUCCAAGUCAGUGGUGAAAGCCCGGAGCUCAACUCCGGAACUGCCAUUGAAACUGUAAGACUUGAGGAUGAGAGAGGUGAGUGGAAUUCCCAGUGUAGAGGUGAAAUUCGUAGAUAUUGGGAAGAACACCGGUGGCGAAGGCGGCUCACUGGCCCGGUACUGACGCUGAGGCGCGAAAGCGUGGGGAGCAAACAGG
Molecule: ribosomal RNA, 253 nt
Filed under: uncultured bacterium
Lineage: Bacteria
Description: partial 16S ribosomal RNA
Rfam family: Bacterial small subunit ribosomal RNA
Source: RNAcentral